Molecule: non-coding RNA, 109 nt
Organism: Paramarasmius palmivorus
Lineage: Eukaryota; Fungi; Basidiomycota; Agaricomycetes; Agaricales; Marasmiaceae
Source: the annotation of a GenBank genome assembly
CGUAAGAUGGCUGAGUGGUUGAGUCGUGUGACUCAAGCUGUUGAAAGCUUCCCUUCCCAUGGGGAAACCCCGCCUGGGUUCAAACCCCAGUAUUACCGUGUUUUUAUGA